Molecule: long non-coding RNA, 2317 nt
Organism: Choloepus didactylus (southern two-toed sloth)
Lineage: Eukaryota; Metazoa; Chordata; Mammalia; Pilosa; Megalonychidae
Exons: 3
Source: RefSeq, a predicted model, not a curated record
CCACCACCUAACAGGUCCUGGACCUGUAGAUCCCUUCCACAGCACAGUGACGAAUCUACCACCCACCCAAGCUGUGUGUCUUGGAACUGUCGCUGUACCUCCCUGAGCCUCAGUAUGCUCCUCUGGAAAGUGGGAUGGAGUGCCAAAUCCUCAAGAACUUCUCACCACUUCAUGUUAUCAUCUCUGCUUUGCACAUUUCCAGGAGAAGAAAUGCAGUGCCUCAUUGCUCAUCAUCACCACUGGCCCUGGUUGCUCUGGGGAUAAACCAGCUUGGAUUUCACCCUCGAGGACCAGCAUUCCACAGACCACAUAAAGCCACUUGCAAGUCAAGAUGAAGCAGGGCAAACUUGAACAUGAAGCCUUUUGUGUGGCUGGUUUCUUAUCUUUUGCCCUUUGUUAGAGGCUGAGGCACUGGGUGAGGGAAUUACAUUCACAAGCAAACCAACUGCAAGAUGCUCCCCUGGAAGGAGGAGCAAACGCUGCUGCCCCCUCCUGCCCUCUCAUGAUCACUUCCACAGCUGGGAUCGUCGGCAGAUCAGCUGGAGAGAAGCUGGGCAGGGGCUGGUACCAAGAAAAGGAUGAUUUCAGGCACUUUCUUUCAAUUCUAAGAGCAACCCCUGUAUAGAGCGCUUGGCACGUGUCCCCCUGAAAGCUGCUCACCCCACUGCACCGGAAGUGCUAAGGACUAACUUGCAAGCAGUUCUCUGAAGCGGGAGGAAACUAUAGGAUCAAAGUGCCCACCAGAUAGGACUGCUCUGCAGAAAGAUGGAAUCUUAGAUGGUGGACACCAAGCCCCAUUGUUCAAAUGAUCAGAAAUGAAAUAACUGAUUUUUAAAAGAGACUUGUGGAUUGUGUGAAUAAACCAUAUCUGCAGAGGAGCCUAAUAUUCUGAAUAAUACAUAACAGUUGGGAUCCUAUUUAAAAUCUAACCUAAACUCAAGGAAAUCAUUAUUCUCCACUAGAGGGCAGUCUGGUAACAAGCUCAUAACCAGUUUGUAAAACAAGGCUAGAAAGGGAGGAAGAAUUUGUGGUCUGAUUUUAAGCUUGCGAUGAGAACUGCUGUGAGCAGAAACAAAAAAUCAAAGAACAUUUUUACCACUAAGAGUUUUUCAAUGUGGCAUGAAAACUACUCAAGGAAGGGUUUUGUUUGUUUGUUUAAUUCUGAAUGACAUUUUUAAAAAAAGCAAGCUGAUGGACUUGAACAAAACUGAAACCGCUUUCAAACAGUUGCUAUGUUGUUCUGUUGCUAUGUGAUCUAGUAUCGGCUACAAACAAAAUCAAGGAGAUCACAUUUCCUCUGCCUCAGCCAUUUGGAAAGCUUCAGACCUCUAGGAGUCCCAGUCUCCAGUUGUGCCUGGAGCUUCAAACUUUGCGGGAGAGUUUUAACUGGGAAAAAUAGCAACCAUGACAGCUAGCUUUUUUUGAACUCUGAGUGCCAGGCUGGGUGUUUCACGUGGAUUCUCUCUCUAAUCCCCACAAUUGUUCUAUGAGUUAGGAACUAUUAUUAACAUCUUCAUUUUACAAAUGCAGAAACAUAGGACCAUAGAACAUGGAGCACUUACCUGUGGGACAUAGCUAAUCAAAGGCAGCAGAGAUUCAAACCCAGGCAGACUGACAACAGAUCCCAGGUUCAAGCUAUUUCUGGACAAUUAAUGGUGAUGAUGGAACUAGAACCCAGGUCUCUUUGUUACAAAUUAAAGAGUGACUUUAAUGUUGAAAAAGAUAUGUGUGGCCAGGCCUGGGUAGAAAAGGACUUCAGAAAAAGGCAGAGGGAAGCAACACAAAAUGACUGUGUUUGCAAAGAGAAGGGUUCAUGCCAAGAAACAGGAAAAUUCCAGGCUGAGCUGGGAUGCUCCAUAUAGGCCAAUUAUUCACAGUUUCAGAGUGGCCAGCACUGGAGGGAUUUCCCCACUGCCUCCCCCAAAUCCAGAGAGUCCCAAGAUCCAUGGACCAGUGGACUUCCCAGAAGCAUCCCACAGAAGACUGCUUCUUGCCUCAGAAUAGGAUCAAUAGAAGUUCACCUAAAAUCGCCAAUGGCCCUCAGUCAAGUACAUCCCAAUAUCAUAAGACCAAUUAUAAUUGCCACCAUUUGAGUGCUCACCACGUGUCGGGCCCUGCACUAAGCAUUUUACUUGAGUGAGCUCAUUUAAUCCUUAUACAAUUCUAUGAGAUGGGCACCACGCCCCCCAUCAGGGAAUUUGGUGUGCUGGCCCCUUUCACGGGGACUUUGUCAUGUGUGUGUGGAUUGUGGAUGCAGAUGUCUGAGAGAGAGUGUACAUCCGGCACACAAGUUGGCUUCCCCACUCCCACCCCCAUC